UAGCGGAGGAAAAGAAACUAACAAGGAUUCCCCUAGUAGCGGCGAGCGAAGCGGGAAGAGCUCAAAUUUAUAAUCUGGCACCUUCGGUGUCCGAGUUGUAAUCUCUAGAAGUGUUUUCCGCGUUGGACCGCACACAAGUCUGUUGGAAUACAGCGGCAUAGUGGUGAAACCCCCGUAUAUGGUGCGGACGCCCAGCGCUUUGUGAUACACUUUCAAUGAGUCGAGUUGUUUGGGAAUGCAGCUCAAAUUGGGUGGUAAAUUCCAUCUAAAGCUAAAUAUUGGCGAGAGACCGAUAGCGAACAAGUACCGUGAGGGAAAGAUGAAAAGCACUUUGGAAAGAGAGUUAACAGUACGUGAAAUUGUUGGAAGGGAAACGCUUGAAGUCAGACUUGCUUGCCGGAGCUUGCUUCGGUUUGCAGGCCAGCAUCAGUUUUCCGGGGUGGAUAAUGACGGUUUGAAGGUAGCAGUCUCGGCUGUGUUAUAGCUUUCCGUUGGAUACAUCCUGGGGGACUGAGGAACGCAGCGUGCUUUUUGCGAAAGACUCGUC
This 547-nucleotide ribosomal RNA is filed under the name Rhodotorula sp. RNAcentral's name for it is "partial large subunit ribosomal RNA". It matches the Rfam family "Eukaryotic large subunit ribosomal RNA", at positions 48 to 599 of the family's 3401-position model. The record is from RNAcentral. Lineage: Eukaryota; Fungi; Basidiomycota; Microbotryomycetes; Sporidiobolales; Sporidiobolaceae.